This is a long non-coding RNA of Parus major (Great Tit), 947 nucleotides long. The record is from Ensembl. NCBI's taxonomy places the organism in Eukaryota, Metazoa, Chordata, Aves, Passeriformes, Paridae.
CACAACCUAUAGAUCCUGGGGCCCCAGAGCUGAGCUGUCACAUCUUAUUUUUAUAUCCUACUCCCAGUGUGUGAGUGUUUUACCAAGAUGUUUUCUUUUCUCUCAUUUGAUAUUUUCAGCAAUUGCUAUUGUUCUGCAGUCUCCAAACGGGCUCUGGGAGCCCAAGGACAGCACGAAAAGCUGAAGUAUGGGAAACAUUGUACCCGGAAAGGGCAGAGCAGGAGGACUGACAGGGGUGACAGAGACUCCAAGGUCUUCUGGAAAUGUGGUGCCUCACUAUCCCUGAUGCAAGAGCUGUACUUGGGUGCUGUGGCAUUUCACAGUUUGCCUGAUCUUGUCUGUGAAGCUUUUCCAGGAGGGACACUGGCUUACUCCUUAGCCGUGCUCACUCAGACUAAUUCAGAGACCUGCCCUGCCUCCUGGGUUGCGCAAAUCCAGAUUUCGUAUUUUUUCCUCUCUGGAGAACAUCGCCUCUUUCCCUCAGAAAAAUCCCUUGGCUCAGCACUGAUUUCAGGCUCCGAUAUGAAGUGCUUUAUUUGUAAAGCCUCCCUUGUUUGGCUCCCACUCACCUUGCCUGACCUCCUCCUCCUCCUCCUCCUUCCUCUCCUUCUCUUGGCCACGGGCUCCCUGGGCAAUCCUGUAGCGACCUCCCCUCUGUCCUCUUGCUGAACCUUAUCCUGGCACUGGAAGAGCGAUGGGAAGGCCCUGUAGCCCAGCCUGCCUGGCAAGAGCUCUCCUGGAGCUCCUCUUUCUCUUCUUUCUCUUCUUUCUCUCGCUGCAGCACACGCCUCUUUCAGCCUGCUUGCCAUGCCAUUUCCUUUCUCCAGCUCUCUUCCCUCCAUGGGAACGAGGAGCUGGGCAGCAGCACAAGGCAGCAGGGCAGCAAACCUACAGCAUCUGAAAGAGCUUCUGUGAAUAAAGUGGGAAUAUUCCCUGUUUUGUUUCUA